RNAcentral lists this ribosomal RNA (301 nucleotides) under uncultured bacterium. RNAcentral's name for it is "partial 16S ribosomal RNA". It matches the Rfam family "Bacterial small subunit ribosomal RNA", at positions 509 to 807 of the family's 1533-position model. The record is from RNAcentral.
CAGUCGCCACGGUAAUACGUAGGUGGCAAGCGUUGUCCGGAAUUAUUGGGCGUAAAGGGCUCGCAGGCGGUUUCUUAAGUCUGAUGUGAAAGCCCCCGGCUCAACCGGGGAGGGUCAUUGGAAACUGGGAAACUUGAGUGCAGAAGAGGAGAGUGGAAUUCCACGUGUAGCGGUGAAAUGCGUAGAGAUGUGGAGGAACACCAGUGGCGAAGGCGACUCUCUGGUCUGUAACUGACGCUGAGGAGCGAAAGCGUGGGGAGCGAGCAGGAUUAGAUACCCCAGUAGUCCCUGUCUCUUAUAC